This 250-nucleotide ribosomal RNA is filed under the name uncultured Stenotrophomonas sp. RNAcentral describes it as "partial 16S ribosomal RNA". It matches the Rfam family "Bacterial small subunit ribosomal RNA", at positions 103 to 355 of the family's 1533-position model. The record is from RNAcentral. Lineage: Bacteria; Pseudomonadati; Pseudomonadota; Gammaproteobacteria; Lysobacterales; Lysobacteraceae.
CGGGUGAGGAAUACAUCGGAAUCUACUCUGUCGUGGGGGAUAACGUAGGGAAACUUACGCUAAUACCGCAUACGACCUACGGGUGAAAGCAGGGGACCUUCGGGCCUUGCGCUAUCAGAUGAGCCUAGGUCGGAUUAGCUAGUUGGUGAGGUAAUGGCUCACCAAGGCGACGAUCCGUAACUGGUCUGAGAGGAUGAUCAGUCACACUGGAACUGAGACACGGUCCAGACUCCUACGGGAGGCAGCAGCA